GGGGUUGGGGCUUAGUGGUAGAGCGCUUGCCUAGCACACAAGAGGCACUGGGUUCAAUCCCCGGCACCA
RNAcentral lists this transfer RNA (69 nucleotides) under Ictidomys tridecemlineatus (thirteen-lined ground squirrel). RNAcentral's name for it is "Spermophilus tridecemlineatus (thirteen-lined ground squirrel) tRNA". It matches the Rfam family "tRNA". From Rfam's summary of the family: Transfer RNA (tRNA) molecules are approximately 80 nucleotides in length. Their secondary structure includes four short double-helical elements and three loops (D, anti-codon, and T loops). Lineage: Eukaryota; Metazoa; Chordata; Mammalia; Rodentia; Sciuridae. The record is from Rfam by way of RNAcentral.